AGAACGAACGCUGGCGGCAUGCCUAACACAUGCAAGUCGAACGAGACCUUCGGGUCUAGUGGCGCACGGGUGCGUAACGCGUGGGAAUCUGCCCUUGGGUUCGGGAUAACAGUUGGAAACGACUGCUAGUACCGGAUGAUGUCUUCGGACCAAAGAUUUAUCGCCCAAGGAUGAGCCCGCGUAGGAUUAGCUUGUUGGUGAGGUAAGAGCUCACCAAGGCACGAUCCUUAGCUGGUCUGAGAGGAUGAUCAGCCACACUGGGACUGAGACACCGGCCCAGACUCCGUACGGGAGGCAGCGAGUGGGGGAAUAGUUGGACGAAGUGGGACGAAAGG
This 335-nucleotide ribosomal RNA is filed under the name uncultured soil bacterium. RNAcentral describes it as "bacterial SSU rRNA". It matches the Rfam family "Bacterial small subunit ribosomal RNA", at positions 26 to 382 of the family's 1533-position model. The record is from RNAcentral.